ACGUAGGGCCGUACUAACUUGAAUAUGCCCAAUCUUGUCUGAUCUCAGAAGCUAAGCUAAGCAGGGCUAGGCCUGGUUGGUACCUGGAUGAAAGACCAAGUGUCAGUCACCACUCUCUCUAUGAU
RNAcentral lists this ribosomal RNA (125 nucleotides) under Erinaceus europaeus (western European hedgehog). Lineage: Eukaryota; Metazoa; Chordata; Mammalia; Eulipotyphla; Erinaceidae. The record is from RNAcentral.